RNAcentral lists this ribosomal RNA (507 nucleotides) under Glomus sp. Glo4. Its description in RNAcentral is "SSU rRNA". It matches the Rfam family "Eukaryotic small subunit ribosomal RNA", at positions 569 to 1078 of the family's 1831-position model. Lineage: Eukaryota; Fungi; Glomeromycota; Glomeromycetes; Glomerales; Glomeraceae. The record is from RNAcentral.
AGCAGCCGCGGUAAUUCCAGCUCCAAUAGCGUAUAUUAAAGUUGUUGCAGUUAAAAAGCUCGUAGUUGAAUUUCGGGAUCAGACUGUCGGUCGUGCCUCGGUACGCACUGGCAUUAUUGGUUCCUACCUUCUGAAGAACCGCGAUGUCAUUAAUUUGGUGUCGUGGGGAAUCAGGACUGUUACUUUGAAAAAAUUAGAGUGUUUAAAGCAGGCUUACGCUUGAAUACAUUAGCAUGGAAUAAUGAAAUAGGACGUUUGAUUCUAUUUUGUUGGUUUCUAGGAUCGACGUAAUGAUUAAUAGGGAUAGUUGGGGGCAUUAGUAUUCAAUUGUCAGAGGUGAAAUUCUUGGAUUUAUUGAAGACUAACUACUGCGAAAGCAUUUGCCAAGGAUGUUUUCAUUAAUCAAGAACGAAAGUUAGGGGAUCGAAGACGAUCAGAUACCGUCGUAGUCUUAACCAUAAACUAUGCCGACUAGGGAUCGGAUGAUGUUAAUUUUUUAAUGACUCA